UGCACGUAAUCCAAAUCCACAUUGUUGGCGAUCUUUGUUUUGCAAUCGUCGGCCGGGAGACAGUUUCUGUCAAUAUAUCGUCUCUCGAUUGACCACUAAUAAUGAUGUGACAUUCGGAAUUACGUAGUUUGUACGUGAUUGAAUUUGUUUUGAAAGGCAGAGUUAAACACACAGAAACUCGCGCGCAAAAUAAUUCACAAAUAAAAAUAACAAAUCGCAUCAUAUGUUUAUGUUAAAUUGAAAUCUCGCUAAUUUCCAGUCAUCCGCCUAAUUGUCAUAUUUUAAAAGAAUAUUCACCAAACCGUUCAAGGGUAGACUAUAAAAACUUCCUCCAUUCAAUGAUUAACAUCUGAACAAUCCCGAGAUGACUGGUUAUUGAAUUUAUAUUUUGGUCGUAUCGAAUAAAAAGCCACCAGUCAUCGACCAAUAAGCAGAUAACUGGAAUCAGCUGCUUUACACAAUGGCACUUCCAAUUCAUCACAAUUCAAUCUAUGACAAAUGAUAAAAUUUUCGAGAUGCGAGGCAUGAGUUGCACUCAAAAUCUAAUACACAUGCUGCAUGACACCAAUGGUGCUAAAUUUGGAGUCUUCCAUUUCGAAAACACUGACCGAACAGUCGAUCGAUUCCGUUUAAAAGGGGUCAUUGGUUUAUACGAACAUACUUCAUGCACGGGAAAUAUUAAAAAAAACGGUAGAAUUCAUGUAAAUCAAUUAGCAUGGAACAGAUAAAAUUUAAAUGUUCAAAAAAUAUUCAUGACAAAUAAAGCACCAGAAACAUCUUACACACAAAUUUAAAAGCAAUAAGCACUUGAAAUACAAUUCGAGUAUUGACAAUGAAACAAACGAGAAUGAGUAAACAGAAAAAUAGCAAUC
Sitodiplosis mosellana (orange wheat blossom midge) is the source of this 872-nucleotide long non-coding RNA. RefSeq lists it as uncharacterized. NCBI's taxonomy places the organism in Eukaryota, Metazoa, Arthropoda, Insecta, Diptera, Cecidomyiidae. The transcript is spliced from 3 exons. The record is from RefSeq and is a predicted model, not a curated record.